This 606-nucleotide ribosomal RNA is filed under the name uncultured bacterium. RNAcentral's name for it is "bacterial SSU rRNA". It matches the Rfam family "Bacterial small subunit ribosomal RNA", at positions 115 to 737 of the family's 1533-position model. The record is from RNAcentral.
GCGUGAGGAACCUGCCUCAAAGAGGGGGACAACAGUUGGAAACGACUGCUAAUACCGCAUAAGCCCACGGCUCGGCAUCGAGCAGAGGGAAAAGGAGCAAUCCGCUUUGAGAUGGCCUCGCGUCCGAUUAGCUAGUUGGUGAGGUAAUGGCCCACCAAGGCGACGAUCGGUAGCCGGACUGAGAGGUUGAACGGCCACAUUGGGACUGAGACACGGCCCAGACUCCUACGGGAGGCAGCAGUGGGGAAUAUUGCACAAUGGGGGAAACCCUGAUGCAGCGACGCCGCGUGGAGGAAGAAGGUCUUCGGAUUGUAAACUCCUGUUGUUGAGGAAGAUAAUGACGGUACUCAACAAGGAAGUGACGGCUAACUACGUGCCAGCAGCCGCGGUAAAACGUAGGUCACAAGCGUUGUCCGGAAUUACUGGGUGUAAAGGGAGCGCAGGCGGGAGAACAAGUUGGAAGUGAAAUCCAUGGGCUCAACCCAUGAACUGCUUUCAAAACUGUUUUUCUUGAGUAGUGCAGAGGUAGGCGGAAUUCCCGGUGUAGCGGUGGAAUGCGUAGAUAUCGGGAGGAACACCAGUGGCGAAGGCGGCCUACUGGGCACC